UACAGAGGGUGCGAGCGUUAAUCGGAUUUACUGGGCGUAAAGGGCGCGUAGGCGGUUAUAUGAGUGUGAUGUGAAAGCCCCGGGCUUAACCUGGGAAGUGCAUCGCAAACGAUAUAACUGGAGUAGGUGAGAGGGUGGCGGAAUUUCCGGUGUAGCGGUGAAAUGCGUAGAGAUCGGAAGGAACGUCAAUGGCGAAGGCAGCCACCUGGCACCAUACUGACGCUGAGGCGCGAAAGCGUGGGGAGCGAACAGG
RNAcentral lists this ribosomal RNA (253 nucleotides) under uncultured bacterium. RNAcentral describes it as "partial 16S ribosomal RNA". It matches the Rfam family "Bacterial small subunit ribosomal RNA", at positions 524 to 776 of the family's 1533-position model. The record is from RNAcentral.